RNAcentral lists this unclassified non-coding RNA (348 nucleotides) under soil metagenome. RNAcentral describes it as "partial contains 5.8S ribosomal RNA, internal transcribed spacer 2, and large subunit ribosomal RNA". The stretch from base 1 to 120 matches the Rfam family "5.8S ribosomal RNA", at positions 35 to 154 of the family's 154-position model. The record is from RNAcentral.
GAUGAAGAACGCAGCAAAAUGAGAUAAGUAAUGUGAAUUGCAGAAUUCAGUGAAUCAUCGAAUCUUUGAACGCACAUUGCGCCCGCUGGUAUUCCGGCGGGCAUGCCUGUUCGAGCGUCAUUUCAACCCUCAAGCCCCCGGGUUUGGUGUUGGGGAUCGGCUCUGCCCUUCUGGGCGGUGCCGCCCCCGAAAUACAUUGGCGGUCUCGCUGCAGCCUCCAUUGCGUAGUAGCUAACACCUCGCAACUGGAACGCGGCGCGGCCAUGCCGUAAAACCCCAACUUCUGAAUGUUGACCUCGGAUCAGGCAGGAAUACCCGCUCAACUUAAGCAUAUCAAUAAGCGGAGGA